Molecule: unclassified non-coding RNA, 466 nt
Filed under: Hevea brasiliensis (rubber tree)
Lineage: Eukaryota; Viridiplantae; Streptophyta; Magnoliopsida; Malpighiales; Euphorbiaceae
Source: RNAcentral
GGCAAAUCUAACAUUACCAGUGAUGUCAAAUUGCAAAUAGAUGACGAAAUUUCUUCAGUAAGAUUAUUAUGGGAUAUGAAGAAGUAUUUUAUGGAAUUUGGUGGUACAUGUAGGGAACCUUGAAGCAAAUUGGACCGUAAAUCAAUAGUAAGUACAGUCUGAUGUGGAAUUGAAUCUACACUUAUCAACAUAAUAUGUGAUAUGUUAAGAUGUUCCAAUGAAACCAUCCGGUUAGACCAUUCCCCAAUCAGGAAUUCUUCCUUGAAUCUUAUUGUUCGAAAGAUCUAACUUCCCAAGCUGCUUUGAGGAUCUUAGAAACUCCAAUUCUUUCACUUCACAUGAAGCUAAUUCUCACGAAUAAAGUGAUUCGGACCAAGUAAAAUUAGCUUUCUUCUCAUUGAUCAAUGAUAUAUCACUAUAGGAAAGACUAAGACUCAAAAGUUGUUAGGUUUGAAAAUAAGUUUAU